GCGCCCGUAGCUCAAUCGGAUAGAGCACCAGCCUUCGAAGCUGGGGGUUCCAGGUUCGAGUCCUGGUGGGCGCG
The sequence is a transfer RNA, 74 nucleotides long. It matches the Rfam family "tRNA". From Rfam's summary of the family: Transfer RNA (tRNA) molecules are approximately 80 nucleotides in length. Their secondary structure includes four short double-helical elements and three loops (D, anti-codon, and T loops).